UUCCCUUUACCACGUGUAUUAUUACUCCAACGGAAUGGGUGAGAGAGUAUCUCUUUAGCAUCCCCUUGGGAGAUGCUGGGCCACGGUCCCUCCCCUUGCACUCCCCUAAUUCCUCCCCCACCAUCCCCUCUUCUUCCCGGGCAUCUUGCGGGCUCUCUGAUUGCUCUUCAUCUCCAAAGAAGCAGGCAGGCGAUCCACUCUGCGGAGGAGGAAGAAUGGGCAGCGUGCGCAGCGACCAUGUUGGGCUGUCAGAGGGAGCCAGUCAGCCACCUCCCUUGUCUCUCCGCGCCUUCCCCUCUCCAGCUGGCUUUCCUCUCUGCCCCCUGCACCACCACCACCUCCUUCCUCUCCUUCCUCUCGCCCAAAGAGCAGCAAGCAG
Antechinus flavipes (yellow-footed antechinus) is the source of this 379-nucleotide long non-coding RNA. RefSeq lists it as uncharacterized. The transcript has 2 exons. NCBI's taxonomy places the organism in Eukaryota, Metazoa, Chordata, Mammalia, Dasyuromorphia, Dasyuridae. The record is from RefSeq and is a predicted model, not a curated record.